RNAcentral lists this ribosomal RNA (254 nucleotides) under uncultured bacterium. RNAcentral's name for it is "partial 16S ribosomal RNA". It matches the Rfam family "Bacterial small subunit ribosomal RNA", at positions 524 to 776 of the family's 1533-position model. The record is from RNAcentral.
UACGUAGGUGGCAAGCGUUGUCCGGAUUUACUGGGCGUAAAGAGCGCGCAGGCGGUCGUUCAAGUCGCGUGUGAAAGCCCCCGGCUCAACUGGGGAGGGUCACGCGAUACUGGUCGACUCGAAGGCAGGAGAGGGUAGUGGAAUUCCCGGUGUAGUGGUGAAAUGCGUAGAUAUCGGGAGGAACACCAGUGGCGAAGGCGACUACCUGGCCUGUUUCUUGACGCUGAGGCGCGAAAGCUAGGGGAGCAAACAGG